ACCAAUGCAUCCUCAGAGCUCCGAGGGAAAAGCAACGACGAUGGCUGGCAGCUGAGGGAGAGACCAGCAUCCCCAGAACUCCCUUUUGGUCCUUGUCCAGACUUCAAGGUCUCCAUGGACCACUUUGAGCCAUAUACGUCUGCCAGUCAGUGGCCUCUGCACCCACGUCAGAAGCAGCAGAAAUCCAAAGAGCCCUUGGCCUCUGGAGGCGGCAGCAGGAGUGCUCUCCGAAAAGAGACUGGGCCAGCCGGUGGGAGCCCAGCGCCCACCCACCGCUCAUCCUACAGCAGGACCAACCCCCCGCCAACCCCCAGCCUCCGGAUCCUCUCUCCAGGCCUUGGAGGAGGCUGCAGACCGGUUUAGAUACUCUGGGGUCCUAACUCAGCCCAUAGGGAUCAGAAAAGGCUUCCUGGAGGAGAAGACACUAAGCCAAGCUGGGUUAAAGCCAAGCCCCCUGUACAUGUCUGGGCAUCCCAGA
Molecule: long non-coding RNA, 478 nt
Organism: Homo sapiens (human)
Lineage: Eukaryota; Metazoa; Chordata; Mammalia; Primates; Hominidae
Gene: EPB41L1-AS1
Product: EPB41L1 antisense RNA 1
Source: Ensembl